CGUCCUGUAUCAUCACACCAAGACCAAUCAUCAGGCAUACAUUUCUAAACAUUGCAGACAAACCAAACAUAUAUAAUUUUUUCCCAUUUGGCUUGAGACCAGCCUUCAACCUUACAACACUUGGUCUUUAUUGUUUGACAUAAGGAGGGCAAGUGGCUUCAAAUGUCAAAGCUCAGUUUUUUAAUGAUCUAUGUACUGUACAACAUGCUUCCUCGACGCUCGUAAACAUGAUGAAAAACUCAAGGGAGACUGUGAAAGUACAGUACAUGACGCCCGCAUAGAAGUGUUUUUAAAACAUCAAGGAUAAAGAACAGGAAAACCACAUGAAGCCUACUGACAAAACAACCUUAAUUUUUUAAAAAAAAAACCUUUUAUAUGGGAAAUAUAAUUAAUGAUUUUGGGAAUCUCGCACGCUAAAUGAGUAUCAAACUCACGACUGCUUUUCAAGGUAAAAGAGACAAAUAACAGCAGUGUGAGAGAGCAAGCCGAGAGAAAAAAUAUUACUUCAAAUUGAACUAAAUGUUCUACUGACAAUGCAAUCCGAAAUUUUUUUAAAUAUCCU
Elaeis guineensis (African oil palm) is the source of this 562-nucleotide non-coding RNA. Lineage: Eukaryota; Viridiplantae; Streptophyta; Magnoliopsida; Arecales; Arecaceae. The record is from RefSeq and is a predicted model, not a curated record.